Molecule: long non-coding RNA, 450 nt
Organism: Solea solea (common sole)
Lineage: Eukaryota; Metazoa; Chordata; Actinopteri; Pleuronectiformes; Soleidae
Exons: 2
Source: RefSeq, a predicted model, not a curated record
CUUGCACACGGAGACGCAGGAAGAGGACAAGGACAGUGGGCAUAAACAUGUGUUACUAAACAACCAGUGAUUGUGGAACCGAACCUGCUGGACCAGAACUGAACCUGCCAGACUGGGACAACCCUGCCAUUGUGAAACUAAACCUGCAAGAACAAGGCAACCCAGUGGUUGUUGAACCAAACCUGUCGGACCAGAACAACCCCAUGGUUGCAGAACCUGACCCACCAGACCGGAUCAACCCCACAUUUGCGAAACUGAACUUGCUUGACCGGAACAACCCUGCGGUUGUGGAACUUUCAAGUACAAAAACAGUAUUUUUUUGAUAAAUUGAUAAAUUGAGUCAUGGUGAAAAACAAAGAGCUAUACAACAUGAAGACUUGGCUGUUCUUAUUUUUGACUUUGUCUUGUGUAACUGAUGUGGGUUCAAAUAACCAACUGCUGCUACAGUUC